RNAcentral lists this ribosomal RNA (863 nucleotides) under Haynesina sp. S16. RNAcentral describes it as "SSU rRNA". It matches the Rfam family "Eukaryotic small subunit ribosomal RNA", at positions 1216 to 1788 of the family's 1831-position model. The record is from RNAcentral. Lineage: Eukaryota; Foraminifera; Rotaliida; Nonionidae.
UACCGGGUCCGGACACACUGAGGAUUGACAGACAAAUACACAUACUACGGUGUGUGCAUGAAAUAUGCUAGUUCUUUCAUGAUUAUGUGAUAGGUGGUGCAUGGCCGUUCUUAGUUCGUGGAGUGAUCUGUCUGCUUAAUUGCGUUUCACUAAAGGCACAUACACAUAAUAUUGUUGUGUUGUGUAUAAUUUAUAAUUAUAUCGCAUACACACAUAUUAUAUUGUGCUUUGAAAGCAACGAACGUGACCGCAACCUCUUGUUGCCUGUAUAUAUGUGUAUUUUAUACACACCACAGGCUAUUAUAAACUAGAGGGACCGCUGUUACUUUCUUUUAAACCAGAGGAAGGUUGCGGCAAUAACAGGUCUGUGAUGCCCUUAGAUGUUCCGGGCUGCACACGUGCUACAAUGAUCAUUGCAGUGCGCAUCUCAUUUUGUUAUACACUGCUUGUGCGUAUGUGCACCAUAUAUUUAUAUGUGUGUGUAUGUAUUGCACGCAGUAAAGCCUACUUCGAAAGUUGUGGGUAAUCAAUUUGAAGUAAUGAUUUCUCCAAAUAUAUACUGCACACUCAUAUACAGUGUCUUAUGUCCAUGAAAGUAUUUUAUAUUUUUGUGUGUGCAUUCGAUGCUCGUAUGUGCAAUUGUCAAUUCAUGGUGGGGACAGACCAUUGUUAAUUGUUGGUCUCGGUCUUAACUAGGAAUGCCUUGUACGGGUCUUUGGUUCAACAAACCACCCGGAAUACGUCCCUGCCCUUUGUACACACCGCCCGUCGCUCUUACCGAUGGACUUCUCUGUGAGUUUGAGGGACUGGAUUUUAUAUCUAUGGAAACUCAAACGAACAGUGUGGUCUAAAGGAAAGAGAAG